Molecule: unclassified non-coding RNA, 331 nt
Organism: Panthera pardus (leopard)
Lineage: Eukaryota; Metazoa; Chordata; Mammalia; Carnivora; Felidae
Gene: 7SK
Rfam family: 7SK RNA
About the family: 7SK was discovered as an abundant small nuclear RNA in the mid-70s but a possible function has only recently been suggested. Two independent studies have found that 7SK RNA binds the CDK9/cyclin T complex (known as elongation factor P-TEFb). P-TEFb activates transcription by phosphorylating the C-terminal domain of RNA polymerase II.
Source: Ensembl
GGAUGCGAGGGCGAUCUGGCCGCGACAUCUGUCACCCCGUUGAUCGCCAGGGUUGAUUCGGCUGAUCUGGCUGGCUAGGCGGGUGUCCCCUUCCUCCCUCACCUCUCCGUGUGCGUCCCUCCCAAAGCUGCGCGCUCGGCCGAAGAGGACGACCUUCCCCGAUAGAGGAGGACCGUUCUUCGGUCAAGGGUAUACGAGUAGCUGCGCUCCCCUGCUAGAACCUCCAAACAAGCUCUCAAGGCCCAUUUGUAGGAGAACGUAGGGUAGUCAGGCUUCCAAGGCUCCAGACACAUCCAAAUGAGGCGCUGCACGUGGCAGUCUGCCUUUCUUU